This 257-nucleotide ribosomal RNA is filed under the name uncultured prokaryote. Its description in RNAcentral is "partial 16S ribosomal RNA". It matches the Rfam family "Bacterial small subunit ribosomal RNA", at positions 524 to 780 of the family's 1533-position model. The record is from RNAcentral.
UACGGAGGAUGCAAGCGUUAUCCGGAUUCAUUGGGUUUAAAGGGUGCGUAGGCGGGCUAUUAAGUCAGUGGUGAAAUCCUGCAGCUUAACUGCAGAACUGCCGUUGAUACCGAUAGUCUUGAGUUUGGUUAAGGUAGGCGGAAUGUGUAAUGUAGCGGUGAAAUGCUUAGAUAUUACACAGAACACCAAUUGCGUAGGCAGCUUACUGAGCCGACACUGACGCUGAGGCACGAAAGCGUGGGGAUCAAACAGGAUUA